Acanthochromis polyacanthus (spiny chromis) is the source of this 459-nucleotide non-coding RNA. NCBI's taxonomy places the organism in Eukaryota, Metazoa, Chordata, Actinopteri, Pomacentridae. The record is from the annotation of a RefSeq genome assembly.
AUGGUCUACAGGACAGGGCUGCUGCUUUUAACCAUCUACUGGGCAGGUGUUGAUGGUCAGACUCUGACAGAGUCUGGAUCAGCAGUUAAAAGACCUGGAGAAUCCCACAGACUGACCUGUACAACAUCUGGAAUAUCAUUCAGCAGCUAUGAGAUGAACUGGAUCAGACAGGCUCCCGGUAAAGGACUGGAGUGGAUCGCUUACAUUCACCCCAGUAGUGGUAGCGAUAUAUACUACUCUCAGUCAGUCCAAGGCAGGUUCACCGUCUCCAGAGACAACAGCAAAGAGCAGCUGUAUCUGCAGAUGAACAGCCUGAAGACUGAAGACUCUGCUGUUUAUUAUUGUAUGGAUUUGGGCAAUAAACUGGCCUGGUCAGACAACACGGACAGCAUCUACAGGAAAUUUGUUGGGGAGGAAGCAUUAAAAAGAGGGAUGCUGAAUGACUGGACAGACGGGUGA